AUGAAGUCACAGACCUUCACUGUGUUACAGCUUUUAAAGGUGGCAUGGACCCAAAGAGUGAGCAGCAGCAAGAUUCACUGUGAAAAGCGAAAGAACACAGCUUCCACACAUGGAAGGGCUUGCUGUCUGUCAUGUUGGUAUCUUAAUGGCUACCAAGAGUCUGUUUCAUCAGUCGUAAGGUCUCUGUUUUAAUGUUAAAUGCUGGUCAGCUGUGCCUGAAUUCCAAAGGAAGGGCUCAAUGAAGAGGGAGUCAUGAAGAAUUUGGAAGAGCAAGUGCCCCAGUCCUAUGUAUUUAUGUCUCCCCACUGAUGUACAGUGCUCCAUCUGCCAUAAAUAUCUAUCGACUCAAUUCUGAGUCAUUUACUGGACUUCUAUUUUUUUUCCUUUGGGCUAUUUCAUCUAUCAGGAGAUUUGCCCCAUGCUGUCUUGAAGGCUAACAUUAUGAAUUUUGAUUGGUGGUACGGCAGUUCCUUACAUCUUAUUAUUAUUAUUUUUAUUCUACAGAUUUGUUUUCAAUUCUUCGGCCUUUGACUUUUUUUGUACGAAG
Pan troglodytes (chimpanzee) is the source of this 547-nucleotide long non-coding RNA. RefSeq lists it as uncharacterized. The record is from RefSeq and is a predicted model, not a curated record. The transcript is spliced from 3 exons. NCBI's taxonomy places the organism in Eukaryota, Metazoa, Chordata, Mammalia, Primates, Hominidae.